UAGGGAAUCUUCCACAAUGGGCGCAAGCCUGAUGGAGCAACACCGCGUGAGUGAAGAAGGUUUUCGGAUCGUAAAGCUCUGUUGUAAGUCAAGAACGAGUGUGAGAGUGGAAAGUUCACACUGUGACGGUAGCUUACCAGAAAGGGACGGCUAACUACGUGCCAGCAGCCGCGGUAAUACGUAGGUCCCGAGCGUUGUCCGGAUUUAUUGGGCGUAAAGCGAGCGCAGGCGGUUUGAUAAGUCUGAAGUUAAAGGCUGUGGCUCAACCAUAGUUCGCUUUGGAAACUGUCAAACUUGAGUGCAGAAGGGGAGAGUGGAAUUCCAUGUGUAGCGGUGAAAUGCGUAGAUAUAUGGAGGAACACCGGUGGCGAAAGCGGCUCUCUGGUCUGUAACUGACGCUGAGGCUCGAAAGCGUGGGGAGCGAACAGGAUUAGAUACCCUGGUAGUCCACGCCGUNNCGAUGAGUGCUAGGUGUUGGAUCCUUUCCGGGAUUCAGUGCCGCAGCUAACGCAUUAAGCACUCCGCCUGGGGAGUACGACCGCAAGGUU
This 548-nucleotide ribosomal RNA is filed under the name uncultured bacterium. RNAcentral's name for it is "bacterial SSU rRNA". It matches the Rfam family "Bacterial small subunit ribosomal RNA", at positions 355 to 895 of the family's 1533-position model. The record is from RNAcentral.